Molecule: long non-coding RNA, 972 nt
Organism: Pipistrellus kuhlii (Kuhl's pipistrelle)
Lineage: Eukaryota; Metazoa; Chordata; Mammalia; Chiroptera; Vespertilionidae
Exons: 6
Source: RefSeq, a predicted model, not a curated record
CGGCCCGCAACCCGAAACGUCGCUUCCCCGGGGCCGCGAGCAGCGGACGUCGCGUGCCGCUUCCGGCGGAGUGCGUGAUGACGCAAGCGGCGUGCGCGGCGCCAGAGGCGGUAGCCAUGGCCGGCGGUUACCGUGGGACGGUUCUGCGAGGCGCCUGGGCUGUGGUUUUCAUCCGGGUCCAUCGGGAUUGCAGGCGGGCGGCAGAGUGCGGAGACUGGGGCAGCUGUCACUGGUGGUCCUGCCUGUGAUCCCGCAGGGGAGCCCCACCGGAGGAAGCACGUGAAGCGAGCCUGUGUUUGCCAGUGACGUGACGGCACGGACAACCCCCAGGUCUGGCAGCGCUUGGCGAAGCCGAAGUCGGACAGCUUGAUGUUGAAGUCCUUGUCGAGGAGCAGGUUCUCGCACUUGAGGUCGCGGUGGACGAUGUCCAGGUCAUGGCAGUACUUGAUGGCGGAGGAGAGCUGGUGGAACUUCUUGCGCGCGUCCUCCUCCUGCAGGGCCCCCCGGGUUUUGAUAAAGUCGAGGAGGUCGCCCUGGACCCCCAGCUCCAUGAUGAUGUAGACCUUGCCCUCGGACGUCUCGAAGAUCUCGGCUCCUCUCCUGUCUGAGUGAAGACAUGGGCACGCUGGCCUCUGCAGAGUGGCCGUCAGGAGACACUGGUGUGUGCGGGAGCCUCGUGUUCCUUCGGUUCUGGGUGUCUCGCGGACGUCGGAGCUAGAAGAGGGUUCCCUUCGGGGCGUGAGGCUGGCCCCUCCGUCCUGGCGGUCAGAUGCAGUGGAUGCCGACGCUGGACGCCCAGCGAGGGGCGGCAGGAUUUAAAUCCAGGCCCUCACUGCUCCCCUCUGCAAGAAGUCGCUUCCUGGUUCUGGGCUGGUAGUGGCUCCAGGCUGGCAUCUUCUCUGACCCCAGGUUUUGGCCCUGUGUCUUCCCUCUGGCAUCUGAAUGAGAACGGGGGGUUAAUAAACAGCUUUA